Molecule: ribosomal RNA, 435 nt
Filed under: uncultured bacterium
Lineage: Bacteria
Description: bacterial SSU rRNA
Rfam family: Bacterial small subunit ribosomal RNA
Source: RNAcentral
AACGAACGCUGGCGGCAGGCUUAACACAUGCAAGUCGAGCGCCCCGCAAGGGGAGCGGCAGACGGGUGAGUAACGCGUGGGAAUCUACCCAACUCUACGGAAUAACUCAGGGAAACUUGUGCUAAUACCGUAUACGUCCUUAGGGAGAAAGAUUUAUCGGAGUUGGAUGAGCCCGCGUUGGAUUAGCUAGUUGGUGGGGUAAUGGCCUACCAAGGCGACGAUCCAUAGCUGGUCUGAGAGGAUGAUCAGCCACACUGGGACUGAGACACGGCCCAGACUCCUACGGGAGGCAGCAGUGGGGAAUAUUGGACAAUGGGCGCAAGCCUGAUCCAGCCAUGCCGCGUGAGUGAUGAAGGCCCUAGGGUUGUAAAGCUCUUUCACCGGUGAAGAUAAUGACGGUAACCGGAGAAGAAGCCCCGGCUAACUUCGUGCCAG